UCGGACUUAGCGGCGGACGGGUGAGUAACGCGUAGGAAUGUACCCCAAAGUGAGGGAUAACUGCUCGAAAGAGUAGCUAAUACCGCAUGUGAUCUACGGAUUAAAGCUUUAUGCGCUUUGGGAACAGCCUGCGUCCGAUUAGCUAGUUGGUAGUGUAAUGGACUACCAAGGCGACGAUCGGUAGCUGGUCUGAGAGGAUGAUCAGCCAGACUGGGACUGAGACACGGCCCAGACUCC
Molecule: ribosomal RNA, 237 nt
Filed under: uncultured bacterium
Lineage: Bacteria
Description: partial 16S ribosomal RNA
Rfam family: Bacterial small subunit ribosomal RNA
Source: RNAcentral